RNAcentral lists this ribosomal RNA (557 nucleotides) under Rhizobium sp. StTD417. RNAcentral describes it as "bacterial SSU rRNA". It matches the Rfam family "Bacterial small subunit ribosomal RNA", at positions 102 to 694 of the family's 1533-position model. Lineage: Bacteria; Pseudomonadati; Pseudomonadota; Alphaproteobacteria; Hyphomicrobiales; Rhizobiaceae. RNAcentral also lists the same sequence under 4 other names. The record is from RNAcentral.
ACGGGUGAGUAACACGUGGGAACGUACCCUUUACUACGGAAUAACGCAGGGAAACUUGUGCUAAUACCGUAUGUGCCCUUCGGGGGAAAGAUUUAUCGGUAAGGGAUCGGCCCGCGUUGGAUUAGCUAGUUGGUGGGGUAAAGGCCUACCAAGGCGACGAUCCAUAGCUGGUCUGAGAGGAUGAUCAGCCACAUUGGGACUGAGACACGGCCCAAACUCCUACGGGAGGCAGCAGUGGGGAAUAUUGGACAAUGGGCGCAAGCCUGAUCCAGCCAUGCCGCGUGAGUGAUGAAGGCCCUAGGGUUGUAAAGCUCUUUCACCGGAGAAGAUAAUGACGGUAUCCGGAGAAGAAGCCCCGGCUAACUUCGUGCCAGCAGCCGCGGUAAUACGAAGGGGGCUAGCGUUGUUCGGAAUUACUGGGCGUAAAGCGCACGUAGGCGGACAUUUAAGUCAGGGGUGAAAUCCCAGAGCUCAACUCUGGAACUGCCUUUGAUACUGGGUGUCUUGAGUAUGGAAGAGGUGAGUGGAAUUCCGAGUGUAGAGGUGAAAUUCGUAGA